Tachyglossus aculeatus (Australian echidna) is the source of this 138-nucleotide small nucleolar RNA. Lineage: Eukaryota; Metazoa; Chordata; Mammalia; Monotremata; Tachyglossidae. The record is from RefSeq and is a predicted model, not a curated record.
CCCCUCUUGGGGGUGUACCUGGAGAGUUUCCAGUACUCUACCAGUCUCAACUAUGGAAGGGAGAGUCAGACAGAGGUCUACCAAUUCCAUUCCUAGCUUGGGCAGUGGUUAGCCAGUGGAAGGCAAUCUGCUACAAGU